GGGGCUGUAGCUCAGCUGGGAGAGCACCUGCUUUGCAAGCAGGGGGUCAGCGGUUCGAUCCCGCUCAGCUCCACC
Molecule: transfer RNA, 75 nt
Filed under: Rhizobium leguminosarum
Lineage: Bacteria; Pseudomonadati; Pseudomonadota; Alphaproteobacteria; Hyphomicrobiales; Rhizobiaceae
Description: tRNA-Ala
Rfam family: tRNA
About the family: Transfer RNA (tRNA) molecules are approximately 80 nucleotides in length. Their secondary structure includes four short double-helical elements and three loops (D, anti-codon, and T loops). Further hydrogen bonds mediate the characteristic L-shaped molecular structure. tRNAs have two regions of fundamental functional importance: the anti-codon, which is responsible for specific mRNA codon recognition, and the 3' end, to which the tRNAs corresponding amino acid is attached (by aminoacyl-tRNA synthetases). tRNAs cope with the degeneracy of the genetic code in two manners: having more than one tRNA (with a specific anti-codon) for a particular amino acid; and 'wobble' base-pairing, i.e. permitting non-standard base-pairing at the 3rd anti-codon position.
Source: RNAcentral